UUAUUGUAUUAAUAUUUGUUAUAUGUAAUUAACGAUAAUUUAAUAUCAUUCUAUGUAUGUGGAAGAUAUUUCACAUUCAGUAUAACUUUCAGAUGUUCAAGAGGAAAGUCACGGUUGAUGGAUAAUUCCGGUAUAGAAUCUAAACACUGCGCUACGUACCAACGAAAUUCUUCUAUGCUUCUUCAUUUUAGUCGCUUCUUUUUUCAAGCCUCGGGGGACAUAUUCUCACGAAAUCCGGUUCUACUGGUUUGGGGUUAGAUACGAAGGUUGUCACGUUUUCCAAGGAAAUGAUAUUUAUUACUUCAAAUUGGUUACAAAAUACAUCAUAAUUCUCACAUAAUUUAUGACUGUACCAUAGUGUUGACGACGCAGCCCGCGAAUACGUCUCUCUCAUAUAAUAUUACACACACGAGAGCAAUACAAGAGACCAGAUUUGAAAAAUUAUAUUUUUGAAAACAUAUAUUACUAACAAGAUCAUAAAAAGUAUUCCAUAACGUUUGAAAAUUAAUAUAUUAUAUCCAUGAAGUUACAUAUGAUGAAAGCCAAAAUAUACAAAUAAAAGAUGUUUUUUAAAAUUAAUAAAGUAACAGUAUGUGGCCAAUAUCAAAAGAUAAAUGUUUCACCCUGUAUACAAAAAUAUCAUGCAGUCAAACACCAUCUCCAGUACAACAGGUUGUUAAUUUUUCUCUGCAAGAUCCACGGCGGUGGGCUUCAUUAAAAAUUGAACUGGUCAGAAUAUCAAAGAGAAGAAUAAAUUUAACACGUAUGAGCCAUUAAUUAACGGGCCAAUUGCCGAUAUUCUUAUACAAGGCGGAGGUAAUGUACGUAAAAUCUGCUUCUAAAAAAAAAUCUUCAUAAAUACACCGAUUUGUUUGUCGUAUAUUUGUAUGAGAAA
Frieseomelitta varia is the source of this 895-nucleotide long non-coding RNA. RefSeq lists it as uncharacterized. NCBI's taxonomy places the organism in Eukaryota, Metazoa, Arthropoda, Insecta, Hymenoptera, Apidae. The record is from RefSeq and is a predicted model, not a curated record. The transcript is spliced from 3 exons.